RNAcentral lists this ribosomal RNA (747 nucleotides) under Linyphiidae cf. Laetesia sp. MAA-2009. Its description in RNAcentral is "SSU rRNA". It matches the Rfam family "Eukaryotic small subunit ribosomal RNA", at positions 993 to 1758 of the family's 1831-position model. Lineage: Eukaryota; Metazoa; Arthropoda; Arachnida; Araneae; Linyphiidae. The record is from RNAcentral.
GAGGUUCGAAGGCGAUCAGAUACCGCCCUAGUUCUAACCAUAAACGAUGCCAGCCAGCGAUCCGGCUGCGUUCCUCAAAUGACGCGCCGGGCAGCUUCCGGGAAACCAAAGCUUUUGGGUUCCGGGGGAAGUAUGGUUGCAAAGCUUAAACUUAAAGGAAUUGACGGAAGGGCACCACCAGGAAUGGAGCCUGCGGCUUAAUUUGACUCAACACGGGGAAACUCACCCGGACCGGACACAGGAAGGAUUGACAGAUUAAGAGCUCUUUCUUGAUUCUGUGGGUGGUGGUGCAUGGCCGUUCCUAGUUGGUGGAGUGAUUUGUCUGCUUAAUUGCGUCAACGAACGAGAUUCUAGCCUGCUAAAUAGGCGUUCCGAUCCUUCGAGUCGGACGCUCUUCUUAGAGGGACAGGCGGCGUUUAGCCGCACGAGACAGAGCAAUAACAGGUCUGUGAUGCCCUUCGAUGUCCGGGGCCGCACGCGCGCUACAUUGAAGGAAUCAGCGUGUGCUUUCCCUUUCCGACAGGAAUGGGUAACCCGUUGAACCUCCUUCGUGCUGGGGAUAGCAAUUUGCAAUUUUCUUGCUUGAACGAGGAAUUCCCAGUAAGCACGAGUCAUCAGCUCGUGUUGACUAUGUCCCUGCCCUUUGUGCACACCGCCCGUCGCUACUACCGAUUGAAUGGUUUAGUGAGGUCUUCGGACUGGCGCUCGGAUUGGCUUUCGGGUCGAGCCGACGUGCCGGAAAGAGAC